GAAAAGAAAAAGAAUGGAAUCUAUCCAGGAUGUGGCCAAGAGUUACAAAGGGCAAAAGAAACUGUGUACAACCCAGAGUGUGGUAACCAGCUCCAAAGAGGUCAAAUCGUCAAGAAGAUGUGUGAAAAGGCCAUGGAGCAAGGUUGAAGUCAGUGCUGUUAUGAAACACUUCAAAAUACAUAUCGCUAAAGGACACCUUGCAUCAAAGUUGGAGUGUGAGCAGUGCAAGCGCGCUGAGCACCCUGUUUUGACAGACAGAACUAUUCAAAACAUUCGCGAUUUUGUGAGGA
Long non-coding RNA from Epinephelus fuscoguttatus (brown-marbled grouper), 290 nucleotides. RefSeq lists it as uncharacterized. The record is from RefSeq and is a predicted model, not a curated record. The transcript is spliced from 3 exons. NCBI's taxonomy places the organism in Eukaryota, Metazoa, Chordata, Actinopteri, Perciformes, Serranidae.